ACUUAAAUUGAAGAGUUUGAUCAUGGCUCAGAUUGAACGCUGGCGGCAGGCCUAACACAUGCAAGUCGAACGGUAGCACAAAGGAGCUUGCUCCUUGGGUGACGAGUGGCGGACGGGUGAGUAAUGUCUGGGAAACUGCCCGAUGGAGGGGGAUAACUACUGGAAACGGUAGCUAAUACCGCAUAACGUCGCAAGACCAAAGAGGGGGACCUUCGGGCCUCUUGCCAUCGGAUGUGCCCAGAUGGGAUUAGCUAGUAGGUGGGGUAACGGCUCACCUAGGCGACGAUCCCUAGCUGGUCUGAGAGGAUGACCAGCCACACUGGAACUGAGACACGGUCCAGACUCCUACGGGAGGCAGCAGUGGGGAAUAUUGCAC
Molecule: ribosomal RNA, 376 nt
Filed under: Citrobacter freundii
Lineage: Bacteria; Pseudomonadati; Pseudomonadota; Gammaproteobacteria; Enterobacterales; Enterobacteriaceae
Description: bacterial SSU rRNA
Rfam family: Bacterial small subunit ribosomal RNA
Source: RNAcentral